AGGCUCACACGUGCUGCCGCUCAGGCUCAGUGCCAGCCACUCCCACUGGGACUGGUGGCAGCACUUCUGAGUCU
This is a microRNA precursor of Bison bison bison, 74 nucleotides long. The record is from Ensembl. Lineage: Eukaryota; Metazoa; Chordata; Mammalia; Artiodactyla; Bovidae.